GACGAACGCUGGCGGCGUGCUUAACACAUGCAAGUCGAGCGGUAAGGCCCUUUCGGGGGUACACGAGCGGCGAACGGGUGAGUAACACGUGGGUGACCUGCCCUUAGCUCUGGGAUAAGCCUGGGAAACCGGGUCUAAUACCGGAUAUGACUCCGCGGCGCAUGUUGUGGGGUGGAAAGCCUUGUGCGGCUGGAGAUGGGCCCGCGGCCUAUCAGCUUGUUGGUGGGGGUGAUGGCCUACCAAGGGCGACGACGGGUAGCCGGCCUGAGAGGGCGACCGGCCACACUGGGACUGAGACACGGCCCAGACUCCUACGGGAGGCAGCAGUGGGGAA
This 334-nucleotide ribosomal RNA is filed under the name uncultured bacterium. RNAcentral describes it as "bacterial SSU rRNA". It matches the Rfam family "Bacterial small subunit ribosomal RNA", at positions 28 to 361 of the family's 1533-position model. The record is from RNAcentral.